UGCGUAGGCGGCGCUAUUAGUCAGAGGUGAAAUCUUGCGGCUCAACCGUAAAAUUGCCUUUGAAACUGUAGCGCUUGAAUCACGUUGAGGUCAGCGGAAUGUGACAUGUAGCGGUGAAAUGCUUAGAUAUGUCAUAGAACACCAAUUGCGUAGGCAGCUGGCUAGGCGUGUAUUGACGCUGAGGCACGAAAGCGUGGGGAGCGAACAGGAUUAGAUACCCUGGUAGUCC
This 229-nucleotide ribosomal RNA is filed under the name uncultured bacterium. RNAcentral's name for it is "partial 16S ribosomal RNA". It matches the Rfam family "Bacterial small subunit ribosomal RNA", at positions 568 to 796 of the family's 1533-position model. The record is from RNAcentral.